Molecule: small RNA, 806 nt
Filed under: Pan troglodytes (chimpanzee)
Lineage: Eukaryota; Metazoa; Chordata; Mammalia; Primates; Hominidae
Description: retained intron
Source: RNAcentral
GUUGGUUGGCCGGCGGCGGGCCGGGACGGGCAUGGCCCUGCUGCUGUGCCUGGUGAGCCUGACGGCGGCGCUGGCCCACGGCUGUCUGCACUGCCACAGCAACUUCUCCAAGAAGUUCUCCUUCUACCGCCACCAUGUGAACUUCAAGUCCUGGUGGGUGGGCGACAUCCCCGUGUCAGGGGCGCUGCUCACCGACUGGAACGACGACACGAUGAAGGAGCUGCACCUGGCCAUCCCCGCCAAGAUCACCCGGGAGAAGCUGGACCAAGUGGCGACAGCAGUGUACCAGAUGAUGGAUCAGCUCUACCAGGGGAAGAUGUACUUCCCCGGGUAUUUCCCCAACGAGCUGCGAAACAUCUUCCGGGAGCAGGUGCACCUCAUCCAGAACGCCAUCAUCGAAAGCCGCAUCGACUGUCAGCACCGCUGUGGUAAGCAAGGCUCCGUCCAGGCUGAGGGGCGCGCCGGUGGCAGCUCGGGGCCCUGGAGGCCGAGGGGAGCCCUGGCGGCUCUCGUGUGUUUCAGGCAUCUUCCAGUACGAGACCAUCUCCUGCAACAACUGCACAGACUCGCACGUCACCUGCUUUGGCUAUAACUGCGAGUAGGGCUCAGGCAUCACACCCACCCGUGCCAGGGCCCUACUGUCCCUGGGGUCCCAGGCUCUCCUUGGAGGGGGCUCCCCGCCUUCCACCUGGCCGUCAUCGGGGUAGGGCGGGGCCGUGGGUUCAGGGGCGCACCACUUCCAAGCCUGUGUCCCACAGGUCCUCGGCGCAGUGGAAGUCAGCUGUCCAGGGCCUCCUGAACUACAU